UGCAACGCUUAAUGGAACAACGCAGAUACUAGGCUACGCAGAUGAUUUGGAUAUACUGGGGGAUUGUAGCGAAACGGUACCAAGAAACGAGGAAAUACUCAUAAAAGCGGUGUAUACAGGGUUAGAAGUGAGUGAAUCAAAAACAAAGUACAUGAUUGUGGAUAAGCUAGGCAUCUGCAGAUGGGAGGAAGAUCUCAGAGUUGGGAAUUUUACUUUUGAAAAGGUUAGCGAAUUCAGGUAUCUGACUACGACCAUAAAUGAUAGAAACGAGAUUAAUGUCGAAAUAAAUAAGUGACUCCAUUCGGGUAAUGCUUGCUUCUACGCCGUGAGUAAUUUACUUAAGUCGAGGCUGUUGUCUAAAAACGUUAAAUAAGAAUAUACAGGACAAUAAUACUGCCGGUGGUUCUGUACGGGUGCGAAACGUGGGCUCUCACUAAGCAGGCGGACAACCGUUUUAGGGUAUUUGAAAAUAAAGUCUUGCGAAAAAUAUACGGGCCGAAGAAAGAUGAGGAAACCGGGGAAUGGAGGAGACUACACAAUGAUGAGUUACACAAUCUGUACGCGUCACCAAAUAUUAACAGAAUAAUAAAAUCGCGCAGAUUGGGAUGGGAAGGGCACGUAGCGAGAAUGGGAGACGACCGUACGGCAGCGCGUGUCAUGAAGGGCAGGCCGAUGGUAACGCGACCUCUAGGUAGACCUAGACGUAGAUGGGAGGACAACGUAAAAGCGGAUCUAGUAGAAAUAGGACGGGUGGGUGUCGAUCGGAGAGGUGCAUCUCGGGUGGGGUUGACACAAGAUAGGGCAGCGUGGAAGGCUUGCGUAGAUGAGGCGAUGAACUUUCGAGUUCCAAAUGCCACGUAAAAAAAAAAAAAAGUAGCGGAAACCCGAGUAUUUUGGCUUAUUUGAAAGUAAAGAUCAUUCAUUUAUAACUUCGUGCUGAGAGCUUUUCACGCAUUUGUUAUAGGUCUUAAAGAAGUUCGAAUUCAAACACCAUUCGCAGUUAAAAAGGGCGAUAGUACAAAAUUAUACUGUUUGUACGAUACAGAAGGUGAUCCUUUGUACAUAGUUAAGUGGUAUAAAUCAGGCCGAGAAUUUUAUAGAUACGUUCCGCGAGAACAACCGUCUACCAAAUCAUUUCCUGUUGGAAAUCUGCGGAUAAAGGAAUCAGAAAGUAAUGCAACUCAAGUAACUUUGACGAACAUAGAUGUAGAUGCUGCCGGCUCCUUCAGCUGUGAAAUCACAGUUGAUGAACCCACAUUUCAAACAGCUGUAGUUUCAGGAAUCAUGAAUGUCGUUGAAUUACCAUCUCACAGGCCCAGUAUAAGUGGACUUAGAAGUAAAUAUCGAGUAAAUGAUACACUAAAACUUAAUUGUUCUUUAAAAUACAGUAAGCCUGCUGCUAACUUGACUUGGUAUAUAAACAAUAAACAAG
Molecule: RNA transcript, 1432 nt
Organism: Nasonia vitripennis (jewel wasp)
Lineage: Eukaryota; Metazoa; Arthropoda; Insecta; Hymenoptera; Pteromalidae
Exons: 4
Source: RefSeq, a predicted model, not a curated record